UUAAACAAAUCUCAUCUCAAAUUAAUAUUAUUAAAACCAUAAGUUAUCUUAAUAGUUACACUUUACAAAAUUACUUCGGUCUACCAGAAAAACUAGGCGAGACCCGAAGCUCAGAAAAUUUACAACUGAUACAUCUACUAAUUACUACUGCGGAUAAUCUAAGAUUUACCAAUUUACAUACCAAAUCAAAUACAUCACCCGAUGAUGAAGGAGUCGGGUUAUUGAAUAAGAGUCACG
Molecule: long non-coding RNA, 237 nt
Filed under: Ricinus communis (castor bean)
Lineage: Eukaryota; Viridiplantae; Streptophyta; Magnoliopsida; Malpighiales; Euphorbiaceae
Description: long non-coding RNA (RCOM_LNC000792)
Source: RNAcentral